UUUAGACCCACGGCGAACGGGUGAGUAAUACAUAGGUACUUUCUUUAAGUUGAGAAUAUCCUACCGAAAGGUGGUGCAAUACUCAAUGUGGCCGCAAGGCUAAAGCCGCAAGGCGCUUAAAGUGAGGCCUGUGCACCAUCAGCUAGUUGGUAAGGUAAUGGCUUACCAAGGCUACGACGGUUAGCGGGCCCGAGAGGGUGAUCCGCCACACUGGGACUGCGACACGGCCCAG
RNAcentral lists this ribosomal RNA (232 nucleotides) under uncultured bacterium. RNAcentral's name for it is "partial 16S ribosomal RNA". It matches the Rfam family "Bacterial small subunit ribosomal RNA", at positions 86 to 334 of the family's 1533-position model. The record is from RNAcentral.